This 127-nucleotide small RNA is filed under the name Marmota monax (woodchuck). The record is from RNAcentral. Lineage: Eukaryota; Metazoa; Chordata; Mammalia; Rodentia; Sciuridae.
GCUGGGUAUGGUGAUACACGCCUGUAAUCCCAGCAAUCUGGGAGGCUGAUGCAGGAGGAUCACAAGUUUGAAGCCAGAUUUAGCAACUUAGUGAGGCCCUUAAGCAACUAGUGAGACCCUGUCUCAA